UACAGAGGGUGCGAGCGUUAAUCGGAAUUACUGGGCGUAAAGCGUGCGUAGACGGUUAUUUAAGUCGGAUGUGAAAGCCCCGGGCUCAACCUGGGAAUUGCAUUCGAGACUGAAUAGCUAGGGUGCGGUAGAGGGAAGCGGAAUUUCCGGUGUAGCGGUGAAAUGCGUAGAUAUCGGAAGGAACAUCAGUGGCGAAAGCGGCUUCCUGGACCAGCACCGACGUUCAGGCACGAAAGCGUGGGGAGCAAACAG
Molecule: ribosomal RNA, 252 nt
Filed under: uncultured bacterium
Lineage: Bacteria
Description: partial 16S ribosomal RNA
Rfam family: Bacterial small subunit ribosomal RNA
Source: RNAcentral